RNAcentral lists this ribosomal RNA (635 nucleotides) under uncultured bacterium. RNAcentral's name for it is "bacterial SSU rRNA". It matches the Rfam family "Bacterial small subunit ribosomal RNA", at positions 335 to 962 of the family's 1533-position model. The record is from RNAcentral.
CACCUACGGGUGGCAGCAGUGGGGAAUAUUGGACAAUGGGCGAAAGCCUGAUCCAGCAAUGCCGUGUGUGUGAAGAAGGCCUGCGGGUUGUAAAGCACUUUAAGUUGGGAAGAAAAGCUGACGGUUAAUACCCGUGAGUGUUGACGUUACCAACAGAAUAAGCACCGGCUAACUCUGUGCCAGCAGCCGCGGUAAUACAGAGGGUGCAAGCGUUAAUCGGAAUUACUGGGCGUAAAGGGUGCGUAGGCGGUCUCUUAAGUCGGAUGUGAAAUCCUUGGGCUCAACCUAAGAAUUGCAUACGAUACUGAAAGACUAGAGUACAGUAGAGGAUAGUGGAAUUCCACGUGUAGCGGUGAAAUGCGUAGAUAUGUGGAGGAACACCAGUGGCGAAGGCGGCUAUCUGGACUGAUACUGACGCUGAGGCACGAAAGCGUGGGGAGCAAACAGGAUUAGAUACCCUGGUAGUCCACGCCCUAAACGAUGGGAACUAGCUGUUGGGAGAAAUUAAUCUCUUAGUAGCGAAGCUAACGCGUUAAGUUCCCCGCCUGGGGAGUACGGUCGCAAGAUUAAAACUCAAAUGAAUUGACGGGGGCCCGCACAAGCGGUGGAGCAUGUGGUUUAAUUCGAUGCAACGC